GACGAACGCUGGCGGCGUGCUUAACACAUGCAAGUCGAACGGAAAGGCCCUGCUUUUGUGUGGUGCUCGAGUGGCGAACGGGUGAGUAACACGUGAGUAACCUGCCCUUGACUUUGGGAUAACUUCAGGAAACUGGGGCUAAUACCGGAUAGGAGCUCCUGCUGCAUGGUGGGGGUUGGAAAGUUUCGGCGGUUGGGGAUGGACUCGCGGCUUAUCAGCUCGUUGGUGGGGUAGUGUCUUACCAAGGCUUUGACGGGUAGCCGGCCUGAGAGGGUGACCGGCCACAUUGGGCCUGAGGUACGGCCCAGACUCAUACGGGAAGCAGGGGUGGGGAAUAUUGCACAAUAGGCGGAAGCCUGAUGCAGCAACGCCGGGUGCGGGAUGACGGCCUUCGGGUUGUAAACCGCUUUCGCCUGUGACGAAGCGUGAGUGAGGGUACUGGAUAAAGAAGCACCGGCUACCUACGU
Molecule: ribosomal RNA, 467 nt
Filed under: uncultured bacterium
Lineage: Bacteria
Description: partial 16S ribosomal RNA
Rfam family: Bacterial small subunit ribosomal RNA
Source: RNAcentral